Molecule: ribosomal RNA, 255 nt
Filed under: uncultured bacterium
Lineage: Bacteria
Description: partial 16S ribosomal RNA
Rfam family: Bacterial small subunit ribosomal RNA
Source: RNAcentral
UACGUAGGGUGCGAGCGUUGUCCGGAAUUAUUGGGCGUAAAGAGCUCGUAGGCGGUGUGUCACGUCGUUCGUGAAAACCUGCAGCUUAACUGUGGGCGUGCGGUCGAUACGGGCAUCACUGGAGUUCGGCAGGGGAGACUGGAAUCCUGGUGUAGCGGUGAAAUGCGCAGAUAUCAGGAGGGAACACCGAUGGCGAAGGCAGGUCACUGGGCCGCAACUGACGCUGGAGGAGCGAAAGCGUGGGGAGCAAACAGG